Molecule: ribosomal RNA, 253 nt
Filed under: uncultured bacterium
Lineage: Bacteria
Description: partial 16S ribosomal RNA
Rfam family: Bacterial small subunit ribosomal RNA
Source: RNAcentral
UACGGAGGAGGCAAGCGUUAUCCGGAAUUAUUGGGCGUAAAGCGUCCGCAGGUGGCACUUCAAGUCUGUCGUCAAAGACUGGGGCUUAACCCUGGAAAGGCGGUGGAGACUGAAGCGCUAGAGUGUGGUAGGGGUAGAGGGAAUUCCCGGUGUAGCGGUGAAAUGCGUAGAGAUCGGGAAGAACAUCGGUGGCGAAGGCGCUCUACUGGACCACAACUGACACUCAGGGACGAAAGCGUGGGGAGCAAACAGG